GUGGGGAAUAUUGGACAAUGGGCGAAAGCCUGAUCCAGCCAUGCCGCGUGUGUGAAGAAGGUCUUCGGAUUGUAAAGCACUUUAAGUUGGGAGGAAGGGCAGUAAGUUAAUACCUUGCUGUUUUGACGUUACCGACAGAAUAAGCACCGGCUAACUUCGUGCCAGCAGCCGCGGUAAUACGAAGGGUGCAAGCGUUAAUCGGAAUUACUGGGCGUAAAGCGCGCGUAGGUGGUUCAGUAAGUUGGAAGUGAAAUCCCCGGGCUCAACCUGGGAACUGCUUUCAAAACUGCUGAGCUAGAGUACGGUAGAGGGUGGUGGAAUUUCCUGUGUAGCGGUGAAAUGCGUAGAUAUAGGAAGGAACACCAGUGGCGAAGGCGACUACCUGGACUGAUACUGACACUGAGGUGCGAAAGCGUGGGGAGCAAACAGGAUUAGAUACCCUAGUAGUCC
RNAcentral lists this ribosomal RNA (450 nucleotides) under uncultured bacterium. Its description in RNAcentral is "partial 16S ribosomal RNA". It matches the Rfam family "Bacterial small subunit ribosomal RNA", at positions 354 to 796 of the family's 1533-position model. The record is from RNAcentral.